CAACGCCGCGUGAGUGAUGAAGGCCUUCGGGUCGUAAAGCUUUGUGGAGAGGGACGAAUGCUCUGGGGCUAAUACCUUCAGGGGUUGACGGUACCUCUUUAGCAAGCACCGGCUAACCACGUGCCAGCAGCCGCGGUAAUACGUGGGGUGCGAGCGUUGUUCGGAAUUACUGGGCGUAAAGCGCGUGUAGGCUGUUUAGUAAGUCUGAUGUGAAAUCCCUGGGCUUAACCCAGGAACUGCAUUGGAAACUACUAGACUGGAGUCCGGGAGAGGGUCGCGGAAUUCCUGGUGUAGAGGUGAAAUUCGUAGAUAUCAGGAGGAACACCGGUGGCGAAGGCGGCGACCUGGACCGGUACUGACGCUGAGACGCGAAAGCGUGGGGAGCAAACAGGAUUAGAUACCCUGGUAGUCCACGCUGUAAACGAUGAGCGCUAGAUGUCGCGGGUAUUGACCCCUGCGGCGUCGCAGGUAACCCAUUAAGCGCUCCGCCUGGGGAGUACGGCCGCAAGGCUA
RNAcentral lists this ribosomal RNA (513 nucleotides) under uncultured Pseudomonadota bacterium. Its description in RNAcentral is "bacterial SSU rRNA". It matches the Rfam family "Bacterial small subunit ribosomal RNA", at positions 392 to 896 of the family's 1533-position model. The record is from RNAcentral. Lineage: Bacteria; Pseudomonadati; Pseudomonadota.